UCUCCAAGGCAGAGGACAACCCACUGAACGAAGGGACGGACGCAGCCAGGGCCGCCAUUGCCUUCUCCUUCUUCUCCAUCUUCACUUGGAGCCUGACCGCAGCCCUGGCCGUGCAGAGAUUCAAGGACCUUACCUUCCAGGAGGAAUACAGCACACUGUUCCCUGCCUCGGCGCAGACGUAGGCCUCCCCGCUUGCAAAGGCAGGGAGCCCCAGGUCACAUCUGGUGGCGAGGUGGCAGGAGCAGCUUUGCCAGAAGUGUCCAGGAUGCCAGGGCCUGGAGGGCAGUGGAAGGCUGGCUUGAGGAGCCAGUUAAGAUUUGCCACCCACUCAUUGCCCCCUUUGUUUAUUCUUCAUGCGUUCAUUCAUUCAGUAAACAUUUAUCGAGCA
This is a long non-coding RNA of Galeopterus variegatus (Sunda flying lemur), 388 nucleotides long. RefSeq lists it as uncharacterized. The transcript has 2 exons. The record is from RefSeq and is a predicted model, not a curated record. NCBI's taxonomy places the organism in Eukaryota, Metazoa, Chordata, Mammalia, Dermoptera, Cynocephalidae.